GAUGAACGCUGGCGGCGUGUCUAAGGCAUGCAAGUCGAACGGACUGUUAUUUGUAGCAAUACUUAGAACAGUUAGUGGCAAACGGGUGCGUAACACAUUGGUAACCUGCCUCAAAGUCGGGCAUAAUCCCGCGAAAGUGGGACUAAUUCCACGAUGGUCAUCGAAGGUGAGAUUCCUUCGAUGUAAAGUCGCAAGACGCUUUGAGAGGGGCCUAUGGCCUAUCAGCUUGUUGGUGAGGUAACGGCUCACCAAGGCUAUGACGGGUAGGGGUGUGAGAGCACGACCCCCCUCACUGGGACGUGAGACACUGCCCAGACACCUACGGGUGGCUGCAGUCGAGAAUAUUCCCCAACUGGCCGAAAGGCUGAGGGAGCGACGCCGCGUGCAGGAAUAAGGCC
Molecule: ribosomal RNA, 398 nt
Filed under: uncultured bacterium
Lineage: Bacteria
Description: bacterial SSU rRNA
Rfam family: Bacterial small subunit ribosomal RNA
Source: RNAcentral